UUAAGCGACUAAGCGUACACGGUGGAUGCCCUGGCAGUCAGAGGCGAUGAAGGACGUGCUAAUCUGCGAUAAGCGUCGGUAAGGUGAUAUGAACCGUUAUAACCGGCGAUUUCCGAAUGGGGAAACCCAGUGUGUUUCGACACACUAUCAUUAACUGAAUCCAUAGGUUAAUGAGGCGAACCGGGGGAACUGAAACAUCUAAGUACCCCGAGGAAAAGAAAUCAACCGAGAUUCCCCCAGUAGCGGCGAGCGAACGGGGAGGAGCCCAGAGCCUGAAUCAGUGUGUGUGUUAGUGGAAGCGUCUGGAAAGGCGCGCGAUACAGGGUGACAGCCCCGUACACAAAAAUGCACAUGCUGUGAGCUCGAUGAGUAGGGCGGGACACGUGGUAUCCUGUCUGAAUAUGGGGGGACCAUCCUCCAAGGCUAAAUACUCCUGACUGACCGAUAGUGAACCAGUACCGUGAGGGAAAGGCGAAAAGAACCCCGGCGAGGGGAGUGAAAAAGAACCUGAAACCGUGUACGUACAAGCAGUGGGAGCACGCUUAGGCGUGUGACUGCGUACCUUUUGUAUAAUGGGUCAGCGACUUAUAUUCUGUAGCAAGGUUAACCGAAUAGGGGAGCCGAAGGGAAACCGAGUCUUAACUGGGCGUUAAGUUGCAGGGUAUAGACCCGAAACCCGGUGAUCUAGCCAUGGGCAGGUUGAAGGUUGGGUAACACUAACUGGAGGACCGAACCGACUAAUGUUGAAAAAUUAGCGGAUGACUUGUGGCUGGGGGUGAAAGGCCAAUCAAACCGGGAGAUAGCUGGUUCUCCCCGAAAGCUAUUUAGGUAGCGCCUCGUGAAUUCAUCUCCGGGGGUAGAGCACUGUUUCGGCAAGGGGGUCAUCCCGACUUACCAACCCGAUGCAAACUGCGAAUACCGGAGAAUGUUAUCACGGGAGACACACGGCGGGUGCUAACGUCCGUCGUGAAGAGGGAAACAACCCAGACCGCCAGCUAAGGUCCCAAAGUCAUGGUUAAGUGGGAAACGAUGUGGGAAGGCCCAGACAGCCAGGAUGUUGGCUUAGAAGCAGCCAUCAUUUAAAGAAAGCGUAAUAGCUCACUGGUCGAGUCGGCCUGCGCGGAAGAUGUAACGGGGCUAAACCAUGCACCGAAGCUGCGGCAGCGACGCUUAUGCGUUGUUGGGUAGGGGAGCGUUCUGUAAGCCUGUGAAGGUGUGCUGUGAGGCAUGCUGGAGGUAUCAGAAGUGCGAAUGCUGACAUAAGUAACGAUAAAGCGGGUGAAAAGCCCGCUCGCCGGAAGACCAAGGGUUCCUGUCCAACGUUAAUCGGGGCAGGGUGAGUCGACCCCUAAGGCGAGGCCGAAAGGCGUAGUCGAUGGGAAACAGGUUAAUAUUCCUGUACUUGGUGUUACUGCGAAGGGGGGACGGAGAAGGCUAUGUUGGCCGGGCGACGGUUGUCCCGGUUUAAGCGUGUAGGCUGGUUUUCCAGGCAAAUCCGGAAAAUCAAGGCUGAGGCGUGAUGACGAGGCACUACGGUGCUGAAGCAACAAAUGCCCUGCUUCCAGGAAAAGCCUCUAAGCAUCAGGUAACAUCAAAUCGUACCCCAAACCGACACAGGUGGUCAGGUAGAGAAUACCAAGGCGCUUGAGAGAACUCGGGUGAAGGAACUAGGCAAAAUGGUGCCGUAACUUCGGGAGAAGGCACGCUGAUAUGUAGGUGAAGUCCCUCGCGGAUGGAGCUGAAAUCAGUCGAAGAUACCAGCUGGCUGCAACUGUUUAUUAAAAACACAGCACUGUGCAAACACGAAAGUGGACGUAUACGGUGUGACGCCUGCCCGGUGCCGGAAGGUUAAUUGAUGGGGUCAGCGCAAGCGAAGCUCUUGAUCGAAGCCCCGGUAAACGGCGGCCGUAACUAUAACGGUCCUAAGGUAGCGAAAUUCCUUGUCGGGUAAGUUCCGACCUGCACGAAUGGCGUAAUGAUGGCCAGGCUGUCUCCACCCGAGACUCAGUGAAAUUGAACUCGCUGUGAAGAUGCAGUGUACCCGCGGCAAGACGGAAAGACCCCGUGAACCUUUACUAUAGCUUGACACUGAACAUUGAGCCUUGAUGUGUAGGAUAGGUGGGAGGCUUUGAAGUGUGGACGCCAGUCUGCAUGGAGCCGACCUUGAAAUACCACCCUUUAAUGUUUGAUGUUCUAACGUUGACCCGUAAUCCGGGUUGCGGACAGUGUCUGGUGGGUAGUUUGACUGGGGCGGUCUCCUCCUAAAGAGUAACGGAGGAGCACGAAGGUUGGCUAAUCCUGGUCGGACAUCAGGAGGUUAGUGCAAUGGCAUAAGCCAGCUUGACUGCGAGCGUGACGGCGCGAGCAGGUGCGAAAGCAGGUCAUAGUGAUCCGGUGGUUCUGAAUGGAAGGGCCAUCGCUCAACGGAUAAAAGGUACUCCGGGGAUAACAGGCUGAUACCGCCCAAGAGUUCAUAUCGACGGCGGUGUUUGGCACCUCGAUGUCGGCUCAUCACAUCCUGGGGCUGAAGUAGGUCCCAAGGGUAUGGCUGUUCGCCAUUUAAAGUGGUACGCGAGCUGGGUUUAGAACGUCGUGAGACAGUUCGGUCCCUAUCUGCCGUGGGCGCUGGAGAACUGAGGGGGGCUGCUCCUAGUACGAGAGGACCGGAGUGGACGCAUCACUGGUGUUCGGGUUGUCAUGCCAAUGGCACUGCCCGGUAGCUAAAUGCGGAAGAGAUAAGUGCUGAAAGCAUCUAAGCACGAAACUUGCCCCGAGAUGAGUUCUCCCUGACUCCUUGAGAGUCCUGAAGGAACGUUGAAGACGACGACGUUGAUAGGCCGGGUGUGUAAGCGCAGCGAUGCGUUGAGCUAACCGGUACUAAUGAACCGUGAGGCUUAACCU
This 2901-nucleotide ribosomal RNA is filed under the name Escherichia coli. Its description in RNAcentral is "bacterial LSU rRNA". It matches the Rfam family "Bacterial large subunit ribosomal RNA". Lineage: Bacteria; Pseudomonadati; Pseudomonadota; Gammaproteobacteria; Enterobacterales; Enterobacteriaceae. The record is from RNAcentral.